This 468-nucleotide ribosomal RNA is filed under the name uncultured bacterium. RNAcentral's name for it is "partial 16S ribosomal RNA". It matches the Rfam family "Bacterial small subunit ribosomal RNA", at positions 28 to 507 of the family's 1533-position model. The record is from RNAcentral.
GACGAACGCUGGCGGCGUGCUUAACACAUGCAAGUCGAACGGAAAGGCCCUGCUUUUGUGGGGUGCUCGAGUGGCGAACGGGUGAGUAACACGUGAGUAACCUGCCCUUGACUUUGGGAUAACUUCAGGAAACUGGGGCUAAUACCGGAUAGGAGCUCCUGCUGCAUGGUGGGGGUUGGAAAGUUUCGGCGGUUGGGGAUGGACUCGCGGCUUAUCAGCUUGCUGGUGGGGUAGUGGCUUACCAAGGCUUUGACGGGUAGCCGGCCUGAGAGGGUGACCGGCCACAAUGGGACUGAGAUACGGACCAGACUCCUACGGGAGGCAGCAGUGGGGAAUAUUGCACAAUGGGCGGAAGCCUGAUGCAGCAACGCCGCGUGCGGGAUGACGGCCUUCGGGGUGUAAACCGCUUUCGCCUGUGACGAAGCGUGAGUGACGGUAAUGGGUAAAGAAGCACCGGCUAACUACGUG